RNAcentral lists this long non-coding RNA (297 nucleotides) under Homo sapiens (human). RNAcentral's name for it is "HSALNT0179354". Lineage: Eukaryota; Metazoa; Chordata; Mammalia; Primates; Hominidae. The record is from RNAcentral.
UGAUGGUUUGUUUUGUGGAGUAAGCUGGGGAGGGCAGGGUAAAUAGGAGUUAGAGAUUAACGUAAUGCAAGGGAAGGGCCCUAAGGGCCUGUGGCCACACCUGGGAGGCAGCAGGCAGGAGAGGCAUUCAGAGGAGCUUGGGAUCCUCUUUCUGGCCAGCCCAGCUCCUCCAAGGAAGGGAAGUUUAACGAUGUGAGGCUAAGGGGAAACUUCAGAAGAGGCAGCACAACUUUCACAGUGGCAGAGUUCCUAUGUGACAUAUGACUACAGAAGAGUCAUAAGUCACAGCAUUCCAGA